Long non-coding RNA from Eriocheir sinensis (Chinese mitten crab), 407 nucleotides. RefSeq lists it as uncharacterized. The record is from RefSeq and is a predicted model, not a curated record. The transcript has 3 exons. NCBI's taxonomy places the organism in Eukaryota, Metazoa, Arthropoda, Malacostraca, Decapoda, Varunidae.
CUCUUGAUGUGGUGCGUAAAUAUGGCCUUUCAGCAGCCAUCUUUGCACCUGGAUGGACCUUUGAGACUCAGGAUAACUUUGUGGAAGCAGAAAAAUGCAUGUGGAGGUCCCUUGCACCCUAUUUAAACCAUCAGGGACCCCAGCACCUCCCCCUCACCACCUCCUUCUGCCAGGGGUAUGGGGACCACUUCUACUGCAGAGGAAAGGUGGAGAAGGAAGGUGCAUGGCAUGACCUAAGUCUCCAGCAGCUGCAGCCUCUUUGGUCACAGAUUUUUACUGUGUGACCUUGAGUGGCAAGCGACCCUGAGACUGAGUGUGGCCUACAAGUGGUGUGGCACAUCAACCACCCUCAUCCUCCUGUGCUAUCUGUCAAGGAGCCAAGAUGCCUCUUCCUCCAGUCAGAGCAG